GGUCUCCCGACCCCAAACACUUGCGGUGCCCCCCCAUUUAGCCCCCAAAACUUCUCCCGGGCGUCUCCCCGGGCUGAGGAAGCCGGCGACCCCUCCUCGCCGCCUUUGGGGCGCUCGCCAGGCGCCUCCGGGUUGCUGGGGCUGCCCCCUCCUCUCCUCACAGCGCCAGCUCGGGCUCACCUCAGGGACGAGGGGGAGCACGAGCCCCUCCUCACCCCAAAACGACGCCCCUCGGCACCCCACCAAGGGCAUGGCGCUCCCCGCUCCCCCUCCCCGGGGGCCGCCGUAUGGCCGCUGCUCCCUUCCCCCGCGGCUCCUCUCCAUCCCACUCCCUGCCCACCCGGCACCCCAGGGUGCUGCCCGGCUCCCUCACCGCUCUCUCCUCGGGGCCGUUUCUCCUCGUCGCUGCCUCCGUUAACGCCGCUGCCCCCCGCUCGGGGCUCCGCUCGCCGCCCUUCAGCCCAGGCCCUGCUCCCUGCGGAGCCCCUCCGCUGCGGCUCCGCUGCACCUGCGGCGGGGCCGGGAGGAGGAGAGGGCACCCCCGCUCCGUCCUCCCUCAACUUCUCAUCCCUUCCCUCCGCCUCGCCGCCCCGGCUCUGCCCUCGACCCUCCCGGAGCCAGCAGCGGCCCCUGGGCCAGACGAGCGGAGGCUCCCCCCUGGCCGGCACCGGCGAGCCGCUGUCCGGGUCCCCGGGCGCCCUGCCGCCCCAUGCACUGCCCCAGCGCCCCGGACGGUGGGCAGGGGCUCCCGGCGGGGCAGGUGCCCUGGGCACGCCUCUGGCGGGUGGGACCGGGGCUGAGCUCCACCAAUCGGCCCCGCUGCGGCGGGAGGAGGAGGAGGAGGAGGAGGAAGGAGCGGCCCAGGUUUCCAAACUGUGUGUGCAAGUAACACCAUUUACAGCCAUUGUUACCCUGUUUAAAGAAGGAUGGCACCACAAACCGAGGGAGCCUGUUCGAUGUCUUGACCUCCCGUACUACAGCUGCUGGAAGCGCCAGAAAUUUGCACGUGUCCUGUGGGUGUGCUUGUGUGUACCACAGACGGGGAUGCAGACCAACAAGUACUGGGUGGGGUGUUAGAAAGGUUGGUGACACUCGCAGAUGUCAGAAGGCAACGUGUCACAGACCAGCCUGAGAAUGGGGACAAAUCAUGCCCACCCAAGAAAAAAAAGAAGACUGAUUUAUGAAUGCAUUUUAGAGCAGUAAAAGGAACUAAUACAGCGACAUGAUUCUCUGGUAGUGUUACAAAAUGUGUAAUGAGCUAUCCCAAGACUUGAGAAGCACUGUUAUGUAGGAGGGAAAAAUUUGACCUGCAGUUAUACCCCAGAAAAUCAUCAUUCACUAUUCCUGAAACAACACUGUUGAAGGAAGAUUAGAUCCUAAACUGCUU
This 1387-nucleotide long non-coding RNA is filed under the name Anser brachyrhynchus (Pink-footed goose). Its description in RNAcentral is "lncRNA (ENSABRG00000014995.1)". Lineage: Eukaryota; Metazoa; Chordata; Aves; Anseriformes; Anatidae. The record is from RNAcentral.